AUGAAUGAACUGGCUGAGCAAGCUCCUCGGAGCAGCUCUGGUCGUCAACACCUUGUGAAUUGUGAAUGUCUUUGGCAAGUGAUGUGUUUCCAGUGAUGGGGAUGCAGAGUUUCGCUCGGUUUGAGCGAAAGCUUGCCUAUGAAUUUUAAACUAUUGCCUUUUGAGCCUGACCAAUUUUUAUCAGAGAAAUACUGAAA
This 197-nucleotide unclassified non-coding RNA is filed under the name uncultured fungus. RNAcentral describes it as "sequence contains ITS1, 5.8S rRNA gene". The record is from RNAcentral. Lineage: Eukaryota; Fungi.